Molecule: ribosomal RNA, 698 nt
Filed under: uncultured prokaryote
Description: bacterial SSU rRNA
Rfam family: Bacterial small subunit ribosomal RNA
Source: RNAcentral
GAUGAACGCUGACAGAAUGCUUAACACAUGCAAGUCGAUUCGAUUUACCUUCGGGUAUUGAGGAUGGCGGACGGGUGAGUAACGCGUAAGGAACUUGCCUCUUGGUCUGGGACAACUGUUGGAAACGACAGCUAAUACCGGAUAUUAUGAGAUUCUCGCAUGGGAAACUUAUGAAAGCUAUAUGCGCCAAGAGAGAGCCUUGCGUUCCAUUAGCUAGUUGGUGGGGUAACGGCCCACCAAGGCGACGAUGGAUAGCCGGCCUGAGAGGGUGAACGGCCACAAGGGGACUGAGACAUGGCCCUUACUCCUACGGGAGGCAGCAGUGGGGAAUAUUGGACAAUGGACCAAAAGUCUGAUCCAGCAAUUCUGUGUGCACGAUGAAGGUCUUCGGAUUGUAAAGUGCUUUCAGUUGGGAAGAAGCAAGUGACGGUACCAACAGAAGAAGCGACGGCUAAAUACGUGCCAGCAGCCGCGGUAAUACGUAUGUCGCAAGCGUUAUCCGGAUUUAUUGGGCGUAAAGCGCGUCUAGGCGGAAAAAUAAGUCUGGUGUUAAAAUGCGGGGCUCAACUCCGUAUUGCGUUGGAAACUGUUUUUCUAGAGUACUGGAGAGGUGGGCGGAACUACAAGUGUAGAGGUGAAAUUCGUAGAUAUUUGUAGGAAUGCCGAUGGAGAAGUCAGCUCACUGGACAGANACUGAC